GAUGAAGAACGUAGCGAAAUGCGAUAAGUAGUGUGAAUUGCAGAAUUCAGUGAAUCAUCGAAUGUUUGAACGCACAUUGCGCCCCAUGGUAUUCCGUGGGGCAUGCCUGUUCGAGCGUCAUUUACCCCCUCAAGCACCGCUUGGUGUUGGGCGUCUGUCCCGCUUCGCGCGCGGACUCGCCCCAAAGGUAUUGGCAGCGGUCGUGCCAGCUUCUCGCGCAGCACAUUGCGCUUCUCGAGGCACCGGUGGGCCCGCGUCCAUCAAGCUCACCCCCCCAGUUUGACCUCGGAUCAGGUAGGGAUACCCGCUGAACUUAAGCAUAUCAAUAAGCGGAGGA
This 337-nucleotide unclassified non-coding RNA is filed under the name soil metagenome. RNAcentral's name for it is "partial contains 5.8S ribosomal RNA, internal transcribed spacer 2, and large subunit ribosomal RNA". The stretch from base 1 to 120 matches the Rfam family "5.8S ribosomal RNA", at positions 35 to 154 of the family's 154-position model. The record is from RNAcentral.